AAUCUGCAUAGUUUCACACACAUAGAAGACUGCGCGCCAAGCUCCUUGCCUUCAGACACACACAGGAAAGGUUUACAACACAAGAGAAGGAAACAACACCGAGGGCACCGGCGGGAAUCGAACCCACGACCUCUGGCUUAGAAGACAAAGCUUAUACCACAGAGCCACGGAGGCCCCAGAAGCUCUCAGUGGGACAUUGAUAUGUAGUCCACGGAAGGCGAGUGGAAGACCUUUAGCUUACAGCUUUUCUCCAAGAAAAUUAAGGAAAUGAUAAGGCAAGAAGGUGAUGAUGAAGAAACACGUGAUGAGAAAGCUCAAGUCAAAUAUGAAGGUUUAUACUCAAUUUCAGAAAUAUAAUGAAGGAGUUUUGAAGGACUAAAAUAAGAUUUUGAAGGAGUACUUUUGGACUGUCCUUAAUUGAUGUCCAACUUUUUUUCUACAUAUUUGACCCCCUUCUCCUUUAGUCACAAAAUGUCACAUUUCAUCUUACUCCUAUCUUUUGUCACAUGUAAUAUUUUUCUUAAACAUAUUGCUAAAACAACUGUGUGAUGUCACUUUUUGUUGCCCUUUCUUUUCCCCCUUUUUACA
This is a long non-coding RNA of Uloborus diversus, 588 nucleotides long. RefSeq lists it as uncharacterized. The record is from RefSeq and is a predicted model, not a curated record. NCBI's taxonomy places the organism in Eukaryota, Metazoa, Arthropoda, Arachnida, Araneae, Uloboridae. The transcript is spliced from 4 exons.